Molecule: long non-coding RNA, 2216 nt
Filed under: Papio anubis (olive baboon)
Lineage: Eukaryota; Metazoa; Chordata; Mammalia; Primates; Cercopithecidae
Description: lncRNA (ENSPANG00000041479.1)
Source: RNAcentral
AUGGUUCUUCCUUGUGUUCCAGCUUUGUUGUCUCAUGUUGUUUUCCACUGUUACAGGCCAAAACUGACUUCGAAUGCAGAGUCCCACAAUCAUUGUGUUCUCUCUCCCUCAAAUGCACAUUCUCUCUCUAUCCCCUGCGGCUGCUGCCAGGAUAUGAAGGAGCAGUGGUGUUGUCAAUUCAGAACUGUAUUUUCUACCCUCUUCAGUGCCUUUUUAAGGAAUAUGAAGCUAAAAACAGUUCUGCAGGCUGUACAAGAAGCAUGGUACCAGCAUCCACAUUUGGUUAUGCCUUCAGGCUGUUUCUCAUGGUGGAAGGGAAAGGGGAGUUGCCAUGUGCAGAAGUCAUAUGGUGAGAGCAGAAUCCAGGGAGAGAGAAUGAGCUGCCAGGCUCUAUCAACAACCAAUUCUCAUUGAAACUAAGAGUGAGAGUUCACUACAGCAAGAAUAGCACCAAACCAUUCAGGUGGGAUCCUCCCACAUCAUCAAAACACCUUCCACUAAGUCCCACCUCCAACAUUGGGGAUCACAUUUCACUACCUUGACAAGUAUCAAUCCAAAUACAGUAAUUUUAUAGUAGAAUUUUACAACAGAAUUUAAAACUGCCACCAGUACUAGUGUUUCCUCUGCUUCUAUUCAUUGUAUCUAACUAUUGAAAAAUGUUACAUUUCAUGAAGGUUUGGGGUUUACAUUUUUUUGAAACUUUGGAUCUAUUCUUCAUGUAAUUAGGUUGUAUUUAGUUUACUGUAAUAAUGAUAAUAGGCUAUAUAUAAUAUAUAUAAAUUUAUAUAUAUUAUAUAUAGCCUAUUAUCAUUAUUUAUAAUAUUAUAUAAUGUAUAUUAUAUAUAAUGGACCAGGCACUAUUCUAAGCAUUUUAUCAGUAUUAAUUUGCUAUGGGCCAGGCACUAUUCUAAGCAUUUUAUCGGUAUUAAAAAAUUAAUACACACAAAAUCCCUAUGAUGUAAAUACUAUUAUUACCCCCUUUUUACAGAUUGGGAAACAAAAGCACAGAAAACUUAAGGGAAUUUCCAAAGGUCAAACAUCAAGCAAGUGGUAGGGCUGCAUAGUGAACUCAGCCUGUUUCUGGAGUUUGCCCUUGUCUCUAUUAUAGCCUUUCACCUCUCCAUUUAGUCUCUCAAUAUAAUACCAGUCAAUUUUUAAGUUGGCCAUUUACAUUGAACUAAUACAGAUCUCUUUGGUGGCUUUUUUCUCAUGAUUACAUUUUGUCAGUGAUUAAAAGUACCCUGUGGCAUUAUGUGUAUGUGUUUUAGGAGAAAGUUCAGAAAAGUACUGUGAGUAUAUAUGAUCAGUUACAUAAAUUCCCAUGGUAAAUUUCCUCAAGAAUAAAUAAAAUUAUAUUGUAGUUAACAUUAUUCUCCCCUUAGACCUUAUUUGCUUUGCCUUUAAAUUCUAUGUUUUUGGGAUUAUGUUAGAAGUUAGGUGAACAUGUAGAGCAGCAGUAAAUUAGUAAAUUGAUUAAGAAAUUUUAGUUUUUGAAGCAAGAAACUAAUGAAGUAUUUAUUAUAGCUAAUUUAUCCCCUCACAUAAAAGUAAAAUUCAUUCUUGAGGGAAGUAGUCUGACUAAAUGCAGCCAGGAGGAACAUCUGCCACCGAGGGACCAGGACAUUGGGAAGGCUGGUUAACUCAAACCAGAUCUUCAGAGAGGAGUCAUUAAGAAUGGAGAGAGGGAGAACACAGAUGCUGGGCUGAAGGAGAAGGAAGCAGGGAACCCUGCAUAGGGCUCUUGUGCACCAGGAUUCAUUCCUGGUCUCCAAAAACUCCUGGGGACAGAGUAAGUUGAGCAGAGGGGGAGCAACCUUCUCUCACCAUGAACCUCUAGAAUACUGGCAGCAGGAGAACCCACAACCCCCACAGACACUUAAGUGGCAAGGAAAGCUGCUUAGAGAGUUGAUGGGGCAGAACACCAGCUGGCGCGGAGCCCAGAGGGCUUGGUGCAGGAACAUCCAUGGUGAAGCACAACCAGGGGCUCCCAUACCCCCAAAGUUUUCCAUGCUCCCCUAGGACACUUUAGCAUUAGGGGAACUGUCUGACCUGAACAGAACAAGGGAAUCUUCCCCAUGAGAUGUGACUGCUUCUACCCAACAGCCCCCCUGUCUGCUGGCCUCUUAUGGGGCCCCAGCUUGGCCAUGCCUGCUUGCAGUACAGUCUUUGAUGCCCAAAUGGGGUGCCUGCCAAGGGCCCGCAUCAUACCUUCUGUG